RNAcentral lists this non-coding RNA (29 nucleotides) under Homo sapiens (human). Lineage: Eukaryota; Metazoa; Chordata; Mammalia; Primates; Hominidae. The record is from RNAcentral.
GAGGUAAUGUGCUGACUUUGGUGCUAGAC